Molecule: ribosomal RNA, 253 nt
Filed under: uncultured bacterium
Lineage: Bacteria
Description: partial 16S ribosomal RNA
Rfam family: Bacterial small subunit ribosomal RNA
Source: RNAcentral
UACGUAGGUGGCAAGCGUUGUCCGGAUUUACUGGGCGUAAAGAGCGCGCAGGCGGUCGUUCAAGUCGCGUGUGAAAGCCCCCGGCUCAACUGGGGAGGGUCACGCGAUACUGAUCGACUCGAAGGCAGGAGAGGGUAGUGGAAUUCCCGGUGUAGUGGUGAAAUGCGCAGAUAUCAGGAGGAACACCAGCGGCGAAGGCGGCGCUCUGGGCCGGUACUGACACUGAGGAGCGAAAGCGUGGGUAGCAAACAGG